AGAGUUUGAUCCUGGCUCAGGAUGAACGCUGGCGGCGUGCUUAACACAUGCAAGUCGAACGGGCUCAUAUUGAAACCUAGUGAUUUAUGAGUUAGUGGCGGACGGGUGAGUAACGCGUGGAAAACCUGCCGUAUACUGGGGGAUAACACUUAGAAAUAGGUGCUAAUACCGCAUAAGCGCACAGCUUCGCAUGAAGUGGUGUGAAAAACUCUGGUGGUAUACGACGGUUCCGCGUCUGAUUAGCUUGUUGGUGGGGUAAUGGCUCACCAAGGCGACGAUCAGUAGCCGGCCUGAGAGGGUGAACGGCCACAUUGGGACUGAGACACGGCCCAAACUCCUACGGGAGGCAGCAGUGGGGAAUAUUGCACAAUGGGGGAAACCCUGAUGCAGCGACGCCGCGUGAGUGAAGAAGUAUUUCGGUAUGUAAAGCUCUAUCAGCAGGGAAGAAAUAGCGACCUUUGGGUCGCCAGACGGUACCUGAUUAAGAAGCCCCGGCUAACUACGUGCCAGCAGCCGCGGUAAUACGUAGGGGGCAAGCGUUAUCCGGAUUUACUGGGUGUAAAGGGAGCGUAGACGGCAGCACAAGUCUGAAGUGAAAUGCCGGGGCUUAACCCCGGAACUGCUUUGGAAACUGUGCAGCUAGAGUGCAGGAGAGGUAAGUGGAAUUCCUAGUGUAGCGGUGAAAUGCGUAGAUAUUAGGAGGAACACCAGUGGCGAAGGCGGCUUACUGGACUGUAACUGACGUUGAGGCUCGAAAGCGUGGGGAGCAAACAGGAUUAGAUACCCUGGUAGUCCACGCUGUAAACGAUG
This 810-nucleotide ribosomal RNA is filed under the name uncultured bacterium. Its description in RNAcentral is "bacterial SSU rRNA". It matches the Rfam family "Bacterial small subunit ribosomal RNA", at positions 8 to 811 of the family's 1533-position model. The record is from RNAcentral.